GACGAACCGUGCAAACGUUGUUCGGAAUCACUGGGCUUAAAGGGCGCGUAGGCGGCUUGCCAAGUCAGGGGUGAAAUCUUUCGGCUCAACCGGAAGAGUGCCUUUGAUACUGGCAAGCUAGAGGGAGGUAGGGGCAUGUGGAACUUCCGGUGGAGCGGUGAAAUGCGUAGAGCUCGGGAAGAACACCGGUGGCGAAAGCGCUCUACUGGGCCUGCACUGACACUGAGGGACGAAAGCUAGGGGAGCGAAUGGG
This 253-nucleotide ribosomal RNA is filed under the name uncultured prokaryote. RNAcentral describes it as "partial 16S ribosomal RNA". It matches the Rfam family "Bacterial small subunit ribosomal RNA", at positions 524 to 776 of the family's 1533-position model. The record is from RNAcentral.